RNAcentral lists this ribosomal RNA (1337 nucleotides) under metagenome. RNAcentral describes it as "bacterial LSU rRNA". It matches the Rfam family "Bacterial large subunit ribosomal RNA", at positions 1604 to 2925 of the family's 2925-position model. The record is from RNAcentral.
UCUGCCGAGAAAAGCCUCUAGCGAGCUUCGAGCGGCCCGUACCCCAAACCGACACAGGUGGUCAGGUAGAGAAUACCGAGGCGAUCGGGCGAACUAUGGUUAAGGAACUCGGCAAAUUACCCCCGUAACUUCGGGAGAAGGGGGGCCACAGACUGUCAAACUCCAUGCGGGUGGCAGCGGUAGGUGGCCGCAGAGACCAGGGGGAAGCGACUGUUUACUAAAAACACAGGUCCGUGCGAAGUCGUAAGACGAUGUAUACGGACUGACGCCUGCCCGGUGCUGGAACGUUAAGGGGACCGGUUAGUCCGCAAGGGCGAGGCUGAGAACUUAAGCGCCAGUAAACGGCGGUGGUAACUAUAACCAUCCUAAGGUAGCGAAAUUCCUUGUCGGGUAAGUUCCGACCUGCACGAAUGGCGUAACGACUUCCCUACUGUCUCAACCAUAGGCCCGGCGAAAUUGCACUACGAGUAAAGAUGCUCGUUACGCGCGGAAGGACGGAAAGACCCCGGGACCUUCACUAUAGCUUGACAUUGGUACUCGAAUUGAAUUGUGUAGGAUAGGUGGGAGACUAUGAAGCUCGGACGCCAGUUCGGGUGGAGUCAAACUUGAAAUACCACUCUGUUGAAUUUGGGUACCUAACUUCGGACCGUGAUCCGGUUCAGGGACAGUGUCUGGUGGGUAGUUUAACUGGGGCGGUUGCCUCCUAAAAUGUAACGGAGGCGCCCAAAGGUUCCCUCAGCCUGGUUGGCAAUCAGGUGUUGAGUGCAAGUGCACAAGGGAGCUUGACUGUGAGACUGACAGGUCGAGCAGGGACGAAAGUCGGGACUAGUGAUCCGGCACCUGCGAGUGGAAGCGGUGUCGCUCAACGGAUAAAAGGUACCCCGGGGAUAACAGGCUGAUCUUCCCCAAGAGUCCAUAUCGACGGGAUGGUUUGGCACCUCGAUGUCGGCUCGUCGCAUCCUGGGGCUGGAGUAGGUCCCAAGGGUUGGGCUGUUCGCCCAUUAAAGCGGCACGCGAGCUGGGUUUAGAACGUCGUGAGACAGUUCGGUCCCUAUCCUCCGCGCGCGCAGGAGACUUGAGAAGGGCUGUCCCUAGUACGAGAGGACCGGGACGGACGAACCUCUGGUGUGCCAGUUGUCAUGCCAAUGGCACGGCUGGUUAGCUACGUUCGGAAGGGAUAACCGCUGAAAGCAUCUAAGCGGGAAGCCUGCUUCAAGAUGAGGUCUCCCACCCCUUGAGGGUUAAGGCCCCCAGCUAGACCACUGGGUUGAUAGGCCAGAAGUGUAAGCCUGGUAACAGGUUCAGCCGACUGGUACUAAUAGGCCGAGGACUUAACU